AGUGAAAGAAAAAAGUAACAGAGACGGCAACGUUCUUCCCCUAGCUAGUCGUCAGAGAAGACGGUAACGUCCUUCUCGAUUGUUUCUGACUUGCUCUCGAAGAGGUAGAAUUGGGGGAAGAGGACGAAGAAACGGUAUCAAGGACAACGCAGGAAGAGGAAAACGACGCUGUUUCAUCGUUUUGAUAGCCUCAAUUAACUCUGAUUGAAUUCAUUGUAGAAUGACCGUAUUGAUUCAUUUUCAGGGGAAGAUUCAUCAGUGCCAAUCGCUAGACCUAAACGUCUUUCCCUUUUCAGCUCAAUGUGACAACGGUCUGAAUUGAGGCAACCCUAGCUGACAGAGGGACAGAAGCAGAAGUUCUAGCAACUGAAGUAAGAUUAAAUGUAACUGGAUGGAGUAAAAUACAAGAUGUAUUCUAGUUAUUUGUGGGAUACAAGUCUUAUCAAAAUCAGAUGGCUUUUGGAUGACUCUGGGCGUUAAAGUUAUCCUAUAUGUGGCUGUGGCAUUAAAUGUUGAAGAUUGAUUCUGCCACGUGUCACAUUAUUAGUGUUCACAAAAAAUGUGGGGACGAAGGUUGUAAGCAGGAUAAGUGGGGACAUACUUUCCACAACCGUAUUCCUAUCCCAGUUGUGGCUCUGCAGGUCUUUUAGUUCCUUUUCGUCUUGACGCAAGCUCAGCCUAUGGACCACAGUUAUCUAAACUGAACAUGUUAUGUAAAAUUAUCAGUAGGAAGAAGUGAAUUUACCGCAAGCAAG
Long non-coding RNA from Carica papaya (papaya), 755 nucleotides. RefSeq lists it as uncharacterized. Lineage: Eukaryota; Viridiplantae; Streptophyta; Magnoliopsida; Brassicales; Caricaceae. The record is from RefSeq and is a predicted model, not a curated record.